Molecule: ribosomal RNA, 353 nt
Filed under: Ixodes scapularis (black-legged tick)
Lineage: Eukaryota; Metazoa; Arthropoda; Arachnida; Ixodida; Ixodidae
Description: partial 16S ribosomal RNA
Source: RNAcentral
GGUAUUGAAAUAAGAUUUUAAAUGAGUGCUAAGAGAAUGAUUAAACAAUUAAAAGCUUUCUUUAAUUAAAAAAUUAAAUUUAAUUUUUUUAGUGCAAAAGCAAAAAUAAAAUUUAGGGACAAGAAGACCCUAUGAAUUUUUUAUUGUUAAUAAUUAAUAUUUAAGUUAUUAAUAAUUUAAUUGGGGCGAUAAAAAAAGAAUAAGUAUCUUUUUAGUUAUAAAAUAAGUUCCGUUUUUAGCGAUUAAAUGAAAUAAAUACUCUAGGGAUAACAGCGUAAUAAUUUUGGAUAGUUCAUAUAGAUAAAAUAGUUUGCGACCUCGAUGUUGGAUUAGGAUUCUUUUUUGGUGAAGAA